Molecule: ribosomal RNA, 522 nt
Filed under: Phomopsis emicis
Lineage: Eukaryota; Fungi; Ascomycota; Sordariomycetes; Diaporthales; Diaporthaceae
Description: eukaryotic LSU rRNA
Rfam family: 5.8S ribosomal RNA (bases 179-332)
Source: RNAcentral
AUUUAGGGGAGGAGUCCAGCGCGCAGCCAGACACCCUUUGUGAACUUAUACCUUACUGUUGCCUCGGCGCAGGCUGGUCCCCCCGUGGGACCCCUCGGCAACGAGGAGCGGCCGGCCGGCGGCCAAGUUAACUCUUGUUUUUAACUGAAACUCUGAGAAAAAAACACAAAUGAAUCAAAACUUUCAACAACGGAUCUCUUGGUUCUGGCAUCGAUGAAGAACGCAGCGAAAUGCGAUAAGUAAUGUGAAUUGCAGAAUUCAGUGAAUCAUCGAAUCUUUGAACGCACAUUGCGCCCUCUGGUAUUCCGGAGGGCAUGCCUGUUCGAGCGUCAUUUCAACCCUCAAGCCCAGCUUGGUGAUGGGGCACUGCCUGUGAAAGGGCAGGCCCUGAAAUCCAGUGGCGAGCUCGCCAGGACUCCGAGCGCAGUAGUUAAACCCUCGCUAUGGAAAGUUCUGGUGCGGCCCUGCCGUAAAACACCCAACUUCUGAAAAAUUGACCUCGGAUCAGGUAGGAAUACCCGC